RNAcentral lists this ribosomal RNA (489 nucleotides) under uncultured bacterium. RNAcentral describes it as "partial 16S ribosomal RNA". It matches the Rfam family "Bacterial small subunit ribosomal RNA", at positions 29 to 507 of the family's 1533-position model. The record is from RNAcentral.
AUGAACGCUGGCGGCAUGCCUUACCCAUGCAAGUCGAACGGCAGCAUGACCUAGCUUGCUAGGUUGAUGGCGAGUGGCGAACGGGUGAGUAAUGCAUCGGAACGUGCCUUUUAGUGGGGGAUAACGUAGCGAAAGUUACGCUAAUACCGCAUAUUCUCUGAGGAGGAAAGCAGGGGACCUUCGGGCCUUGCGCUAGAAGAGCGGCCGAUGUCGGAUUAGCUAGUUGGUGCGGUAAAGGCUCACCAAGGCACCGAUCCGUAGCGGGUCUGAGAGGAUGAUCCGCCACACUGGGACUGAGACACGGCCCAGACUCCUACGGGAGGCAGCAGUGCGGAAUUUUGGACAAUGGGCGCAAGCCUGAUCCAGCCAUGCCGCGUGAGUGAAGAAGGCCUUCGGGUUGUAAAGCUCUUUCGGCUGGGAAGAAAUCGCACCCUCUAAUACAGGGUGUGGAUGACGGUACCAGCAUAAGAAGCACCGGCUAACUACGUG